UGGGGAAUAUUGGACAAUGGGGGGAACCCUGAUCCAGCCAUGCCGCGUGUGUGAAGAAGGCCUUAUGGUUGUAAAGCACUUUAAGCGAGGAGGAGGGUACUGGUAUUAAUACUACCAGCUACUGGACGUUACUCGCAGAAUAAGCACCGGCUAACUCUGUGCCAGCAGCCGCGGUAAUACAGAGGGUGCGAGCGUUAAUCGGAUUUACUGGGCGUAAAGCGUGCGUAGGCGGCUAAUUGAGUCGGAUGUGAAAUCCCCGAGCUUAACUUGGGAAUUGCAUUCGAUACUGGUUAGCUAGAGUGUGGGAGAGGAUGGUAGAAUUCCAGGUGUAGCGGUGAAAUGCGUAGAGAUCUGGAGGAAUACCGAUGGCGGAGGCAGCCAUCUGGCCUAACACUGACGCUGAGGUACGAAAGCAUGGGGAGCAAACAGG
Molecule: ribosomal RNA, 430 nt
Filed under: Pseudomonadota bacterium
Lineage: Bacteria; Pseudomonadati; Pseudomonadota
Description: Proteobacteria bacterium partial 16S ribosomal RNA
Rfam family: Bacterial small subunit ribosomal RNA
Source: RNAcentral